UUCCGGUUGAUCCUGCCGGAGGCCAUUGCUAUUGGGAUCCGAUUUAGCCAUGCUAGUCGUACGGAGUUCAUACUCGUGGCGAAUAGCUCAGUAACACGUGGCCAAACUACCCUUCGGAGCACAAUACCCUCGGGAAACUGAGGUCAAUAGUGCAUAUCAUACCACCACUGGAAUGAGUGGUAUGCCAAACGCUCCGGCGCCGAAGGAUGUGGCUGCGGCCGAUUAGGUAGACGGUGGGGUAACGGCCCACCGUGCCAAUAAUCGGUACGGGUCAUGAGAGUGAGAACCCGGAGACGGAAUCUGAGACAAGAUUCCGGGCCCUACGGGGCGCAGCAGGCGCGAAACCUUUACACUGCACGACAGUGCGAUAGGGGGAUCCCAAGUGCACAGGCAUAGUGCCUGUGCUUUUCGGUACCCUAAGGCGGUACCAGAAUAAGGGCUGGGCAAGACCGGUGCCAGCCGCCGCGGUAAUACCGGCAGCCCAAGUGAUGGCCGAUCUUAUUGGGCCUAAAGCGUCCGUAGCUGGCCGCGCAAGUCCAUCGGGAAAUCCACCUGCUCAACAGGUGGGCGCCCGGUAGAAACUGCGUGGCUUGGGACCGGAAGGCGCGACGGGUACGUCCGGGGUAGGAGUGAAAUCCCGUAAUCCUGGGCGGACCGCCGAUGGCGAAAGCACGUCGCGAGAACGGAUCCGACAGUGAGGGACGAAAGCCAGGGUCUCGAACCGGAUUAGAUACCCGGGUAGUCCUGGCCGUAAACAAUGCCUGCUAGGUGUGGCUCCCACUACGAGUGGGUGCUGUGCCGUAGGGAAGCCGCUAAGCAGGCCGCCUGGGAAGUACGUCCGCAAGGAUGAAACUUAAAGGAAUUGGCGGGGGAGCAC
This 877-nucleotide ribosomal RNA is filed under the name uncultured archaeon. RNAcentral describes it as "bacterial SSU rRNA". It matches the Rfam family "Archaeal small subunit ribosomal RNA", at positions 1 to 879 of the family's 1478-position model. The record is from RNAcentral.